GACGAACGCUGGCGGCGUGCUUAACACAUGCAAGUCGAGCGGUAAGGCCCUUUCGGGGGUACACGAGCGGCGAACGGGUGAGUAACACGUGGGUGACCUGCCCUUAGCUCUGGGAUAAGCCUGGGAAACUGGGUCUAAUACCGGAUAUGACUCCAUGACGCAUGUUGUGGGGUGGAAAGCCUUGUGCGGCUAGGGAUGGGCCUGCGGCCUAUCAGCUUGUUGGUGGGGUGAUGGCCUACCAAGGCGACGACGGGUAGCCGGCCUGAGAGGGCGACCGGCCACACUGGGACUGAGACACGGCCCAGACUCCUACGGGAGGCAGCAGUGGGGAAUCUUGCGCAAUGGGCAAAAGCCUGACGCAGCGACGCCGCGUGGGGAUGACGGCCU
This 387-nucleotide ribosomal RNA is filed under the name uncultured bacterium. RNAcentral describes it as "bacterial SSU rRNA". It matches the Rfam family "Bacterial small subunit ribosomal RNA", at positions 28 to 417 of the family's 1533-position model. The record is from RNAcentral.